Molecule: small nuclear RNA, 144 nt
Organism: Nycticebus coucang (slow loris)
Lineage: Eukaryota; Metazoa; Chordata; Mammalia; Primates; Lorisidae
Product: U4 spliceosomal RNA
Exons: 1
Source: RefSeq, a predicted model, not a curated record
CGCUUUGCACAGUGGCAGUGUUAUAGCCAGUGAAGUUUAUCCAAGGUGCAAUCAUUGCUAAUUGAAAUCUUUCCCUGAUACUUCGCCAUGACAACUUGAAAUGUACUACUCGGCAUUGGCAAUCUUUAACAAUCUCUGUGGAGA